This 301-nucleotide ribosomal RNA is filed under the name uncultured bacterium. RNAcentral's name for it is "partial 16S ribosomal RNA". It matches the Rfam family "Bacterial small subunit ribosomal RNA", at positions 509 to 807 of the family's 1533-position model. The record is from RNAcentral.
CAGCCGCCACGGUAAUACGAAGGGUGCAAGCGUUACUCGGAAUUACUGGGCGUAAAGCGUGCGUAGGCGGUUCGUUAAGUCUGUUGUGAAAGCCCCGGGCUCAACCUGGGAAUGGCAAUGGAUACUGGCGAGCUAGAGUGUGUCAGAGGAUGGUGGAAUUCCCGGUGUAGCGGUGAAAUGCGUAGAGAUCGGGAGGAACAUCAGUGGCGAAGGCGGCCAUCUGGGACAACACUGACGCUGAGGCACGAAAGCGUGGGGAGCAAACAGGAUUAGAUACCCCUGUAGUCCCUGUCUCUUAUAC